Molecule: long non-coding RNA, 749 nt
Organism: Oncorhynchus keta (chum salmon)
Lineage: Eukaryota; Metazoa; Chordata; Actinopteri; Salmoniformes; Salmonidae
Exons: 3
Source: RefSeq, a predicted model, not a curated record
CUGUCCAGGGUUUUAAAACGAGACUGGAACACUAUUACAGCACUUUAAUAGAGGUUGGUCUGUCCAGGGUUUUAAAACGAGACUGGAACACUAUUACAGCACUUUAACAGGGGUUGGUCUGUCCAGGGUUUUAAAACGAGACUGGAACACUAUUACAGCACUUUAACAGAGGUUGGUCUGUCCAGGGUUUUAAAACGAGACUGGAACACUAUUACAGCACUUUAACAGAGGUUGGUCUGUCCAGGGUUUUAAAACGAGACUGGAACACUAUUACAGCACUUUAACAGAGGUCGGUCUGUCCAGGGUUUUAAAACGAGACUGGAACACUAUUACAGCACUUUAACAGGGGUUGGUCUGUCCAGGGUUUUAAAACGAGACUGGAACACUAUUACAGCACUUUAACAGAGGUUGGUCUGUCCAGGGUUUUAAAACGAGACUGGAACACUAUUACAGCACUUUAACAGAGGUCGGUCUGUCCAGGGUUUUAAAACGAGACUGGAACACUAUUACAGCACUUUAACAGAGGUUGGUCUGUCCAGGGUUUUAAAACGAGACUGGAACACUAUUACAGCACUUUAACAGAGGUCGGUCUGUCCAGGGUUUUAAAACGAGACUGGAACACUAUUACAGCACUUUAACAGAGGUCGGUCUGUCCAGGGUUUUAAAACGAGACUGGAACACUAUUACAGCACUUUAACAGAGGUCGGUCUGUCCAGGGUUUUAAAACGAGACUGGAACACUAUUACAGC